RNAcentral lists this ribosomal RNA (770 nucleotides) under Klebsiella planticola. RNAcentral's name for it is "bacterial SSU rRNA". It matches the Rfam family "Bacterial small subunit ribosomal RNA", at positions 22 to 782 of the family's 1533-position model. Lineage: Bacteria; Pseudomonadati; Pseudomonadota; Gammaproteobacteria; Enterobacterales; Enterobacteriaceae. The record is from RNAcentral.
GCUCAGAUUGAACGCUGGCGGCAGGCCUAACACAUGCAAGUCGAGCGGUAGCACAGAGAGCUUGCUCUCGGGUGACGAGCGGCGGACGGGUGAGUAAUUGUCUGGGAAACUGCCUGAUGGAGGGGGAUAACUACUGGAAACGGUAGCUAAUACCGCAUAACGUCGCAAGACCAAAGUGGGGGACCUUCGGGCCUCAUGCCAUCAGAUGUGCCCAGAUGGGAUUAGCUAGUAGGUGGGGUAAUGGCUCACCUAGGCGACGAUCCCUAGCUGGUCUGAGAGGAUGACCAGCCACACUGGAACUGAGACACGGUCCAGACUCCUACGGGAGGCAGCAGUGGGGAAUAUUGCACAAUGGGCGCAAGCCUGAUGCAGCCAUGCCGCGUGUAUGAAGAAGGCCUUCGGGUUGUAAAGUACUUUCAGCGAGGAGGAAGGCGUUAAGGUUAAUAACCUUGGCGAUUGACGUUACUCGCAGAAGAAGCACCGGCUAACUCCGUGCCAGCAGCCGCGGUAAUACGGAGGGUGCAAGCGUUAAUCGGAAUUACUGGGCGUAAAGCGCACGCAGGCGGUUUGUUAAGUCAGAUGUGAAAUCCCCGGGCUCAACCUGGGAACUGCAUUUGAAACUGGCAAGCUUGAGUCUUGUAGAGGGGGGUAGAAUUCCAGGUGUAGCGGUGAAAUGCGUAGAGAUCUGGAGGAAUACCGGUGGCGAAGGCGGCCCCCUGGACAAAGACUGACGCUCAGGUGCGAAAGCGUGGGGAGCAAACAGGAUUAGU